GACGAACGCUGGCGGCGUGCUUAACACAUGCAAGUCGAACGGAAAGGCCCUGCUUUUGUGGGGUGCUCGAGUGGCGAACGGGUGAGUAACACGUGAGUAACCUGCCCUUGACUUUGGGAUAACUUCAGGAAACUGGGGCUAAUACCGGAUAGGAGCUCCUGCUGCAUGGUGGGGGUUGGAAAGUUUCGGCGGUUGGGGAUGGACUCGCGGCUUAUCAGCUUGUUGGUGGGGUAGUGGCUUACCAAGGCUUUGACGGGUAGCCGGCCUGAGAGGGUGACCGGGCCAUUGUGGGCUAGAAAACGGCCCAGGCCCCCGCGGGGGGGGGGGGGGGGGAAUUUUUGACAAGGGGGGGGGGCCCGUAGCGCCCACCGCCGGGGGGGGGAGCGGGGCUUUGGGUUUUAAACCCGUUUGCGCUUGUGAAAAGGGGGGUGGGGGGGAAUGGGGAAAAAAGCCCCGGACAAACUCCGUC
Molecule: ribosomal RNA, 469 nt
Filed under: uncultured bacterium
Lineage: Bacteria
Description: partial 16S ribosomal RNA
Rfam family: Bacterial small subunit ribosomal RNA
Source: RNAcentral